RNAcentral lists this ribosomal RNA (250 nucleotides) under uncultured Chroococcidiopsis sp. RNAcentral describes it as "partial 16S ribosomal RNA". It matches the Rfam family "Bacterial small subunit ribosomal RNA", at positions 796 to 1044 of the family's 1533-position model. Lineage: Bacteria; Bacillati; Cyanobacteriota; Cyanophyceae; Chroococcidiopsidales; Chroococcidiopsidaceae. The record is from RNAcentral.
CUAGCUGUAAACGAUGGAUACUAGGCGUUGAGAGUAUCGACCCUCUCAGUGUCGUAACUAACGCGUUAAGUAUCCCGCCUGGGGAGUACGCGCGCAAGCGUGAAACUCAAAGGAAUUGACGGGGGCCCGCACAAGCGGUGGAGUAUGUGGUUUAAUUCGAUGCAACGCGAAGAACCUUACCAGGGCUUGACAUGUCCGGAACCCUGCCCAAAGGCGGGGGUGCCUACGGGAACCGGAACACAGGUGGUGC